RNAcentral lists this transfer RNA (58 nucleotides) under Dipodomys ordii (Ord's kangaroo rat). It matches the Rfam family "tRNA", at positions 8 to 63 of the family's 71-position model. From Rfam's summary of the family: Transfer RNA (tRNA) molecules are approximately 80 nucleotides in length. Their secondary structure includes four short double-helical elements and three loops (D, anti-codon, and T loops). Further hydrogen bonds mediate the characteristic L-shaped molecular structure. tRNAs have two regions of fundamental functional importance: the anti-codon, which is responsible for specific mRNA codon recognition, and the 3' end, to which the tRNAs corresponding amino acid is attached (by aminoacyl-tRNA synthetases). tRNAs cope with the degeneracy of the genetic code in two manners: having more than one tRNA (with a specific anti-codon) for a particular amino acid; and 'wobble' base-pairing, i.e. permitting non-standard base-pairing at the 3rd anti-codon position. Lineage: Eukaryota; Metazoa; Chordata; Mammalia; Rodentia; Heteromyidae. The record is from Rfam by way of RNAcentral.
UGGCUUAGUGGUAGAGUGCUUGCCUUACAUGCAUGAGGCCCUGGGUUCGAUUCCUCAG